Molecule: long non-coding RNA, 1353 nt
Organism: Gadus morhua (Atlantic cod)
Lineage: Eukaryota; Metazoa; Chordata; Actinopteri; Gadiformes; Gadidae
Source: Ensembl
AUGGAUUUUACACGAUUUGGGAUGGGUAGAGGGUGUUUGCAACCAGGGAAUGCAGAGCAAACUAGGACGCCAGGCAUUAGCAGCCCUCAGAGUAUAGAUAAUGGUACGCCUGUAGCAAGGCAGAUGUUUUCCACUCCCGCCACUGCUGAUAAUGACACUCUGGCACAACUGCGUGACCUCUUAGGGGAGCUGGGAACCCACAUUGGUAACACUGUUGUGAGUCGCAUAUUAGCCAACCAAACAAGUACCCCCAAACUCAAUUGCCCACCCCCCAUGACUCCCCACUCCACCAUUCCAUUCGCUUUGCCACUGGGGCUCCAUUCACCACCUCCCAUGACUUCCCCUCCACUCGAGCCCAUGCCUUCCCCAGUUGAUAUGUCUCGACUAAACAUCAUGGUAAAAGCAGCUGGCAAGGAACCAGUGAUGUUUAGAGGAGAUGGCUCUGACAAAUACACAGUACAAGAGUGGAUAGAGGUGAUGGAUACUUACCUGCAUAAAAAUAACUGUCCAACCUCAGAGCAGGCCGAUGAAGUCCUCAGUCACCUUUUGGGACGAGCUAAGAGUAUCGUUAAAGUGGGGCUGAAGAGUAGUGCCGAUGUCAACACACACCCUGAAGUGGUAUACGACAUACUCAGAAGAUACUUCAGUGAUUCUCCCAUGUCCAGCUUACCGAUGGCUGAUUUCUAUUCUACACAUCCCGAUGCAAAUGAGAACCCAGUAGAUUACUGGGUCCGGCUCAAUGCAGCAGCUGAGCAUGCUGACCGGUAUCUGGGGAAAAGUGGAGAAAAGAGGGAGACCAUGUCAGCGCAAAUUGCUAUGAUGUUCAUCAGGAACUGCCCCAACCCAGAACUCUCCAGUGUGUUCCGGUGUAAGCCUAUCAGCAAAUGGUCAGCCGUGGAAGUGCAAGAGGCUAUCGAUGAACACCAGAGGGAGCACCAGGCAAGGAGGAGGCCCAUUAAAGCAGAGAAGUUCAAAAUGGUGACAGCAGCUGCCACUACCUGUUUACCUGUAGUUGAAGAGCUGACUGCAAUGAGGGCUGGAGUUCAAGAACCUCCUACACAGCCAAAGGUGAGUGCAGUCACCUCUUCAGAAGCAGGGGCCUUAGAACGAGUACUGAGCAUGCUGGAAGGCAUCAUGGCCAGAGCAGCUUCACCUGUCCAACGGCCGACCCCGUGGACACGCCCCACUUCUUGCCGUGUAUGUGGUGACAAGACUCACAUCACACGUGAACACUGCAUGAAAGAGAACAGGUGCUUCGGGUGCCUGGAACCUGGCCACGCAAGGAGAGAUUGCACACGAGCUGUACCACGGCAAACCCAAGCAGAGAACCACACACCUAACCAGGGAAACUAA